RNAcentral lists this ribosomal RNA (424 nucleotides) under Verrucomicrobiota bacterium. RNAcentral's name for it is "Verrucomicrobia bacterium partial 16S ribosomal RNA". It matches the Rfam family "Bacterial small subunit ribosomal RNA", at positions 355 to 776 of the family's 1533-position model. The record is from RNAcentral. Lineage: Bacteria; Pseudomonadati; Verrucomicrobiota.
UGAGGAAUAUUGGUCAAUGGGCGAGAGCCUGAACCAGCCAAGUAGCGUGCAGGAUGACGGCCCUAUGGGUUGUAAACUGCUUUUAUGUGGGGAUAAAGUGCGUGACGUGUCAUGCAUUGCAGGUACCACAUGAAUAAGGACCGGCUAAUUCCGUGCCAGCAGCCGCGGUAAUACGGAAGGUCCGGGCGUUAUCCGGAUUUAUUGGGUUUAAAGGGAGCGUAGGCUGUUUGUUAAGCGUGUUGUGAAAUGUAAGAGCUCAACUUUUAGAUUGCAGCGCGAACUGGCAGACUUGAGUGCGCACAACGUAGGCGGAAUUCAUGGUGUAGCGGUGAGAUGCUUAGAUAUCAUGACGAACUCCGAUUGCGAAGGCAGCUUACGGGAGCGCAACUGACGCUAAAGCUCGAAGGUGCGGGUAUCGAACAGG